GCCUUUAAGAUGCAAUGCUUUCCCAUCCUUCACAGAAAGUGGAUGUGAAGUUUAAGGAAUUAAAAGUUCAAAAAAUUGCAUUCAGAAGGCUAAGAUUAGAAAGAUUCUGCAUAUUUAUCAUGGUUGGUGAAUUGUUCUCCUGAGAUCCGAUGUGCUAUUUCAAGUGCUGAAUUAAUUUAAAAAUGUGAUUAUAUAUCACACAUUUAUUUUAGUGAUUUUUCUGAGAAGUAGUGAGGCUAGUUAAAAUUCUACUACACCUCACAGAGAAGAAAUAGCUUUGAGUAUCCUCAAAGUACUCCCACCUCCUGCAAUAAAUGGAUUAAAAGCAUUGAGAGGCUGUUAAUUAGUCACACUAUCACUUAUUAUUACUAAAGUACAUUAUUAAUAUCAGAAAAACAAUUUUCAAAAUAAAACACUGUAAUCUCUUGUUUAUCCUGAUUUUGUAUCAAUAGAAAAAGGAAGCUAGUAGGUAAUUUAGUCAUAUCCACUGCUCAAUUUAGAAAGAAGUUUCAACUCUCAUGCCAAAGAGGUCUCCUUGUGCAGAAAUUUGGAUAGCAGUUCUGGAUCUCAUUAUUUCAGCCAUUUGGACCUUUGGCAUCUGAUUCACCAAAUGAUAAUGGAUGUCAGUAGUGGUGAUCCUUUUAAAGUGACUGCUGUCUUCUGGAAAAGUUUUUGACUUUCUGAAACAGUAAGGUGUGGAUACUUAUUUAAGUUUGUGAUCAGAAUACUUCAAAGGAACAUACAUCCAAGUACUGUGCUAUGAAACUCUUCAAGAAGAAAAUUGUUAAAUGCACAUCUAAAGUUCUUAAUAAUCUGCAGUGACCUUGGCAACAGCUACACUUAUUUGUAAUGUAUUACUUCAAUUUUACUUUUAAUGAAAAUAUAGGUGCAAGAACAAGACUGAUAUAAUUAGAAUAAAUAUUUUCAGUGUGCUGUGA
Molecule: long non-coding RNA, 938 nt
Organism: Passer domesticus (house sparrow)
Lineage: Eukaryota; Metazoa; Chordata; Aves; Passeriformes; Passeridae
Exons: 2
Source: RefSeq, a predicted model, not a curated record